RNAcentral lists this ribosomal RNA (2220 nucleotides) under invertebrate metagenome. Its description in RNAcentral is "bacterial LSU rRNA". It matches the Rfam family "Bacterial large subunit ribosomal RNA", at positions 3 to 2137 of the family's 2925-position model. The record is from RNAcentral.
UCAAGCUACUAAGGGCGUACGGUGGAUGCCUAGGCAUCGAGAGGCGAUGAAGGACGUGGGCAGCUGCGAAAAGCUCCGGUUAGCCGCUAACAGGCUUUGACCCGGAGAUUUCCGAAUCGGAAAACCGGGAUGAGAGUAAUCUCAUUCAUCAUCUGCUGAACACAUAGGCAGAUUGAAGCGAACGCGGGGAACUGAAACAUCUAAGUACCCGCAGGAAAAGGAAACAACAGUGAUUCCCGAAGUAGCGGCGAGCGAACCGGGAACAGCCUAAACCGUGUAUGUGUAAGCUUGCAGGCGUUGCAUGCACGGGGUUGUGGGGCUUCUUCGAUUGGACUGCAAUUCAAUCAUGAAGUUAAAAAAGUAAUUGGUAGUAGAACGAUCUGGAAAGGUCGACCACAGGGGGUGACAGUCCCGUAAACGAAAUCAAUUGCACUUCAUAGAAUGUCCCCGAGUACCGCAGGGCACGGGAAACCCGGCGGGAAUCUGGGAGGACCAUCUUCCAAGGCUAAAUACUCCUCGAUGACCGAUAGUGAACGAGUACCGUGAGGGAAAGGUGAAAAGAACCCCUGUUAGGGGAGUGAAAUAGUACCUGAAACCGUGCGCCUACAAACAGUGGGAGCCCUAUGCUCUUUUUAAGAGAAUGGGUCACCACGUACCUUUUGCAUAAUGGGCCUGCGAGUUACGUUAUGUGGCGAGGUUAAGCCGAGAGGUGGAGCCGAAGCGAAAGCGAGUCCUAACCGGGCGAACAUAGUCGCAUGACGUAGACCCGAAACCGGGUGAUCUACCCAUGGUCAGGUUGAAGCUAGGGUAAGACCUAGUGGAGGACCGAACCCACUGAAGUUGAAAAUUCAGGGGAUGAACUGUGGGUCGGAGUGAAAGGCUAAUCAAACUCGGAGAUAGCUGGUUCUCGCCGAAAUAUAUUUAGGUAUAGCCUCGGAUGAUUUGCGCCGGAGGUAGAGCACUGAAUGGGCUAGGGGUCUCACCAGAUUACCAAACCCAAUCAAACUCCGAAUGCCGGUGACAACAGUCCGGGAGUCAGACGUUGGGUGAUAAGGUCCAACGUCGAAAGGGAAACAGCCCAGAUCGUCAGCUAAGGUCCCCAAGUAUGUGCUAAGUGGAAAACGAGGUGAAGACGCUAUGACAACCAGGAGGUUGGCUUAGAAGCAGCCACCCUUUAAAGAAAGCGUAACAGCUCACUGGUCAAGGGUCUUCGCGCGGAAAAUGUAACGGGGCUCAAGCACAUCACCGAAGCUACGGGUUAAAUUUAUUUAGCGGUAGGCGAGCAUCGUCGGACAGAUACUAGGUGUACCGUAAGGAGCACUACUGGGUACGACGAGAGCUAAUGCAGGCAUGAGUAGCGAUCAAGAGGGUGAGAAACCCUCUCGCCGUAUGUCCAAGGUUUCCUGGGCAAGGAUAAUCCUCCCACGGGUUAGUCGGCCCCUAAGCCGAGGCCGAAAGGCGUAGGCGAUGGGAAGCAGGUUAAUAUUCCUGCACCACCAGGGAAUGCUUUGAUCAGAGAAGGGACGGAGAAGGGUAGCUUAGCCCACUACUGGAUGUGGGUUCAUAGCAUGUAGGAUUGCGCUUUAGGACCCGAUAGGGACAAACGAAGUGCUUUAAGUCCGAGAUGUGAUGUGGUGGCCAAUAGCGGCCAGUAACUAAGUGAUCCCAGGCUUCCUAGAAAAGCUUCGCUGUUAGCACCUUUGGUGACCGUACCGCAAACCGACUCAGGUGGACAGGUAGAGAAUACUAAGGCGCGUGAGAGAACUCUGGCUAAGGAACUCGGCAAAAUGACACCGUAACUUCGGGAGAAGGUGUGCCUUUUCUAGUGAUUGAAUUUACUUCAUGAGCUGGCGAGGGUUGCAGAGAAAUGAGGGUUGCGACUGUUUACUAAAAACAUAGGACUCUGCUAAGUCGCAAGACGACGUAUAGGGUCUGACGCCUGCCCGGUGCCGGAAGGUUAAGAGGAUCGGUUAGCCAUUAGGCGAAGCUGUGAGUCGAAGCCCCGGUAAACGGCGGCCGUAACUAUAACGGUCCUAAGGUAGCGAAAUUCCUUGUCGGGUAAGUUCCGACCUGCACGAAUGGCGUAACGACAUCCCCACUGUCUCGGCCAGGGACUCAGCGAAAUUGAAAUGUGCGUGAAGAUGCGCACUACCCGCGGCUAGACGGAAAGACCCCGUGAACCUUUACUAUAGCUUGGCAGUGAUCUUCGGUUGUGUUUGU